CCUACGGGAGGCAGCAGUGGGGAAUAUUUCACAAUGGGGGCAACCCUGAUGCAGCGACGCCGCGUGAGUGAAGAAGUAUUUCGGUAUGUAAAGCACUAUCAGCAGGGAAGAAAAUGACGGUACCUGUUUAUGUAGCCCUGGCUCACUACGUGCCAGCAGACGCGGUAAUACGUAGGGUGCAAGCGUUAUCCGGAUUUACUGGGUGUAAAGGGAGCUUAGUCGGCAGCACAAGUCUGGCGUGAAAUGCCGGGGCUUAACCCCGGAACUGCUUUGGAAACUGUGCAGCUAGAGUGCAGGAGAGGUAAGUGGAAUUCGUAGUGUAGCGGUGAAAUGCGUAGAGAUUAGGAGGAACACCAGUGGCGAAGGCGGCUUACUGGACUGUAACUGACGUUGAGGCGCGAAAGCGUGGGGAGCAAACAGGAUUAGAUACCCGGGUAGUC
RNAcentral lists this ribosomal RNA (440 nucleotides) under uncultured bacterium. Its description in RNAcentral is "partial 16S ribosomal RNA". It matches the Rfam family "Bacterial small subunit ribosomal RNA", at positions 338 to 795 of the family's 1533-position model. The record is from RNAcentral.